Molecule: unclassified non-coding RNA, 291 nt
Filed under: Hevea brasiliensis (rubber tree)
Lineage: Eukaryota; Viridiplantae; Streptophyta; Magnoliopsida; Malpighiales; Euphorbiaceae
Source: RNAcentral
GAGGGUAGCCGUGAACGAUACAGAAACAUUGGCCUCAUUCUGUGCCGAAACUGUGCCGUCUGAUCCAGAUGCGGCGACGCACCAAGUUUAUUUUCUGUACUGCGCUGGGUUCAUCAAAAUCGGCGUUUCGAAGGGGCUGAUACGCCGCCUCAAGGAUAUCCAAAUUGGGACGCCGUUCCCGUCUCAGGCGGUCAUGCUUAUCCGUGGCGGGCGGAUCACCGAGCANNNUCCUAUAUAAUGAGUACCACCAUCGGGGCGAGUGGUUCGUGCUCGGGCCCCGGCUGAGGGCCA